GCGAGACGCGACGUCCAGGGCCGCUCCGCCGCGCGCCUACCGCGCAUCUUGAGUACGCGCGAGUGAUGCACUGCUCUGCCUCUCUAACCUGAGCCCCUCUGCCUUGGCCCCCGACUCUUUGCUUCUUUCAAUGGCACAUUAUCUAGUACAGUGUGUUACUGGAACAUUGUUACAUAUUAGCACCGCUCUGUGAAAAUAUACAUGCCUAUCACAGUUAUGUGAUUUCGUGAACGUGUUCUCUUCUCUAAAUCAAUCUGAAGAUCUUACAUCAGACUGACAUAUCAAUACUUCGCUAACUUCCAAGACUGAAGUAGAACUUUAUACUUGUUACUCUCUGCUUGUUAUACCUUUAAGUGCCAAAAGUUAUUUAGAUUUCUUCGUCGUGUACUCUCGCCGGGAAAAGUGAUAUCUGAGUGGUGUGAACAUUGCUAAUGUGCGCGAUUGUACCUGCGGAGAGGUUGUGCGUGUUGGUUAGUGUUAAGGAGACGGCGUGCGCUUUGGAUUGUAGCGCUGUGACGGCUCCAAAGUGGUCGGAGGCGGGGUCUUCCGUUGCUGCGUGCCCUGGUGCGGGGCGCGCGCGGCGGCGCCCGUCGACGAAGCCGACUAUGCCUUGAGAGAGGGCAGCCCGCAACUAUCCCAAGAAGAAUACAUUAUACCUGAGCCCAUACUAAGUUCACCGCGCCCUAUAGGCCAACAGUCCCCUUUACCCGGAAUAGAAGAGGAAGACGAUUCCGAUUGGCCACUAGAGGACGCCACAGACGCGACCCUUACUCCUUCAUAUAGAAGUACGAAAAGCAGUACUGACACAGCUUUUACUUCAUCGAGGAGUUCCGGGAAGAAGCGUAGUUUUGGGAGUCCAUCUUCGGUAAAGAUAUGCGUAUCGGCCGCGGCUAGGAAGUCGAACAAGGCCCGCAAGCGUGGCGCCGGCGGAGCCGGGGCAGCGGGGCAGGGUGAGGAGUCGCAGUCUCAGGGCGCGCACAGCUCGCUUGGCUCCCACAGCUCGCACGGCAGGAUGCAGGCCGAGCAGGGCAGCAUCGGCGAGCUGCAAAAGUACCACGGCCGCUACCUCAAGAGCAGACGACACACGCUCGCUAA
Long non-coding RNA from Papilio polytes (common Mormon), 1095 nucleotides. RefSeq lists it as uncharacterized. The transcript is spliced from 3 exons. The record is from RefSeq and is a predicted model, not a curated record. NCBI's taxonomy places the organism in Eukaryota, Metazoa, Arthropoda, Insecta, Lepidoptera, Papilionidae.